UGGGGAAUAUUGCACAAUGGGGGAAUCCCUGAUGCAGCGACGCCGCGUGAACGAAGAAGGUAUUCGUAUCGUAAAGUUCUGUCCUAUGGGAAGAUAAUGACAGUACCAUAGAAGAAAGCUCCGGCUAAAUACGUGCCAGCAGCCGCGGUAAUACGUAUGGAGCGAGCGUUGUCCGGAAUUAUUGGGGGUAAAGGGUACGCAGGCGGUUUAAUAAGUCGAAUGUUAAAGAUCGGGGCUCAACCCCGCAAAGCAUUGGAAACUGAUAAACUUGAGUAGUGGAGAGGAAAGUGGAAUUCCUAGUGUAGUGGUGAAAUACGUAGAUAUUAGGAGGAAUACCAGUAGCGAAGGCGACUUUCUGGACACAAACUGACGCUGAGGUACGAAAGCGUGGGGAGCAAACAGG
Molecule: ribosomal RNA, 403 nt
Filed under: bacterium
Lineage: Bacteria
Description: partial 16S ribosomal RNA
Rfam family: Bacterial small subunit ribosomal RNA
Source: RNAcentral